UUUGAUCCUGGCUCAGGACGAACGCUGGCGGCGUGCCUAAUACAUGCAAGUCGAGCGAACCACUUCGGUGGUUAGCGGCGGACGGGUGAGUAACACGUGGGCAACCUGCCUGUAAGACUGGGAUAACUUCGGGAAACCGGAGCUAAUACCGGAUAAUCCUUUUCCUCUCAUGAGGAAAAGCUGAAAGWCGGUUUCGGCUGWCACUUACAGAUGGGCCCGCGGCGCAUUAGCUAGUUGGUGAGGUAACGGCUCACCAAGGCGACGAUGCGUAGCCGACCUGAGAGGGUGAUCGGCCACACUGGGACUGAGACACGGCCCAGACUCCUACGGGAGGCAGCAGUAGGGAAUCUUCCACAAUGGACGAAAGUCUGAUGGAGCAACGCCGCGUGAGCGAUGAAGGCCUUCGGGUCGUAAA
This 415-nucleotide ribosomal RNA is filed under the name Bacillus sp. R-32702. Its description in RNAcentral is "bacterial SSU rRNA". It matches the Rfam family "Bacterial small subunit ribosomal RNA", at positions 12 to 429 of the family's 1533-position model. Lineage: Bacteria; Bacillati; Bacillota; Bacilli; Caryophanales; Bacillaceae. The record is from RNAcentral.